UUGUAAAACAUUAAAAGCAAAUAAAGAAUACCAGCCGCACACACAUACUCCAACACCCCUUCGUCUCUUCCUGCAGCUCCGCUGACCGGAGCCGAUACUUCGGGCGACGAUUUCCAGCGAGCAAGCCACACCCCAGACACAACACUCUUGUACCACUACACACGCAUACACACCUGAAUCCGAGAGAGAGAGAGAGAGAGAGAGAGAGAGCCAAGAAGAAGGGAGAAAGGCGAGAUAGAUGCUGGUGGCCGUGGAAGUAAUGGCGGCUGAGCCGUUUCUUCUCCGGCGGGUUUCAGAGGCGGUGGUGAACAGAGCAUCAACGGAUGAGCAGAGCUGUGAUGGUGGAAGUUGUGUGGCUCGGAGAGGAGGUGAUUGAAUGAGGGGCGACUGGCGGCUGACCGAUGUUUUGGCAAGAAGUAAUAACACCGGUGGUGGUGUUUCAGCUCACGGCCUUUCGGCAGAACUCCGACGGGUCACGGAGGCGGCGGUCGUUAUUUGGUGGCAGCGGCCGCGUGUUUUGAUGCCGGUACAACAGAUCAGUGACGAAGGUGGGUUCGGCUAGUGGCGUUGCGGUAGUGAUUGCGAGUUGUCGAGCUAGUGGACCCGGGUGACCGAUCACAGCGGCGCAGGAAUCCUGGGGCAGGGACGGCAGGAGUCGAUCAUCGAGACGUGGUUGACCAACUUAGGACAAACGCUUUAUCUACCGAGCAAAGCAAAGGUCGUUAGAGGUUUAGCUGGAGCUUGCAGGGGAGCAGGAGUCGUUGUGGGACAUGAACCGCUGCGUGUUCAUGAAAAACUUUAUUAAAUUAAAAACUUAAAUUUUGGUUUUGAACUUAAACGCUUCCGCUGACUAUUCAACUUGGUUUUGGACUUUGGUUUGGAGAACUUUAGACGUUUGGUUUUA
Molecule: long non-coding RNA, 904 nt
Organism: Helianthus annuus (common sunflower)
Lineage: Eukaryota; Viridiplantae; Streptophyta; Magnoliopsida; Asterales; Asteraceae
Exons: 3
Source: RefSeq, a predicted model, not a curated record